This 556-nucleotide ribosomal RNA is filed under the name uncultured bacterium. Its description in RNAcentral is "bacterial SSU rRNA". It matches the Rfam family "Bacterial small subunit ribosomal RNA", at positions 372 to 917 of the family's 1533-position model. The record is from RNAcentral.
CUGGCUGCGCGCAGCCUGAUCCAGCAUGCCGCGUGUGUGAAGAAGGCCUUCGGGUUGUAAAGCACUUUUGUCCGGAAAGAAAUGGCUCUGGUUAAUACCUGGGGUCGAUGACGGUACCGGAAGAAUAAGGACCGGCUAACUACGUGCCAGCAGCCGCGGUAAUACGUAGGGUCCAAGCGUUAAUCGGAAUUACUGGGCGUAAAGCGUGCGCAGGCGGUUGUGCAAGACCGAUGUGAAAUCCCCGGGCUUAACUUGGGAAUUGCAUUGGUGACUGCACGGCUAGAGUGUGUCAGAGGGGGGUAGAAUUCCACGUGUAGCGGUGAAAUGCGUAGAGAUGUGGAGGAAUACCGAUGGCGAAGGCAGCCCCCUGGGAUAACACUGACGCUCAUGCACGAAAGCGUGGGGAGCAAACAGGAUUAGAUACCCUGGUAGUCCACGCCCUAAACGAUGUCAACUAGUUGUUGGGGAUUCAUUUCCUUAGUAACGUAGCUAACGCGUGAAGUUGACCGCCUGGGGAGUACGGUCGCAAGAUUAAAACUCAAAGGAAAUUGACGGA